UGUGCUCCCACAGAGCAGCACAGGAGAGGGCGCAGAGAGAGCAGUUGGCAGGAGCGCAGCUGUGGCUGGGUGUGAGUUUCUGGGGGGAUUUUUAUAGGGGGAAAGCUGAUGAGUAAUAAACAAGGUGCUGCCUGAUUCUUGUUUGGAGGAAAAAGGGGGAGGGAGAGAGGAACGCAGGGAAAGGGAGAAGCACAGGGAAGAGGAGAAGGAGAAAGAAAUGACCUUGGUGAGCUUUUCUGGCUGCUCUCCAGGUUGAAGGCUGAUGCCAAAAAAAUCUCCGAGUCCCUUUUGGCUGGAAGUACUCUCCCUGCGUUAGGUGAAUCACACACACAUUUCUGGAACAUUACAUGUUCACAAUUGCAAAGCUCGCAGUAAUUAGAAAAACUACAAGACCAAGGCAGGGGGAAAACUAUGAGUCACACAUGGAAGCGGUGUGAUUGUGCUGCAGGAGGAUCAGCCUCGCAGACUGCCUAAGGAAAGGAAAAGAAAUUGGUGCCGAAUUGCAGACCCUAAUAAAAGCCCUGUUCUUGGGAGUGAUUCAUUAACUUUACUAGGAGCGCGUUUAAAAAAUAAUUUAAGAAAAGAAAGAAAAAAAAGAAAAAAGGGCCAAGAUUUCCUGUGCCUGCCUGUAAUAUUAAACCUGCUUAAGCUACAAGGAGACGCCUGUGGAUGUAAUUGCACGUUUCCAAAAGCCUGCGUCCGCACAGCCGACUCCAAACGGCCUCCGAAGCUCCAGCGGUUUCCCCAGCUGCAGAAGGGGCAGGAAAGGGGGGAAGAAUCUGAUGGGCAGGCAAUUCUGUCCCUUUUUAUUUUCCCGGUGUGUGCGUAGGACAUAAAGCCAUUCCUUCACCCGCCACUCUCUUUCCUGGAUGAGGAUUAAAACAAGAAAUGGCCACAGCCCAUCUGCUCGGCGGUCUCGGCACACAGGCUGCCUGCUACAGCUGAAGUUCUUCCCCUCAAGCGCUGCCACCUGGGGCUGCUGCAGUUUGUUGGACAUCCCUAUCCUGGGUUAAUGAGAGCAGAGCAAUUAAGAGGCUGUGAUGGCUAUGGAUGUGGGUCUCCGGUCAGGUCUCAGUUCCCAGUUGGAGCUGAGUGAUUCCCUUCUGGUGGGGGAGGAAUGUUUCAACAAAACUUGCCUUUUUCUUUUUUUUUUUUUUUUUUUUUUUUUUUUUUGGAAAAUGCUGAUGCAUGGAAAUCAAAACCUUUUGUGGAAACACAGUGUUUCAAAUGAAAAUUUAGUUAGGGAGGAUUUCCUCGAGUCCAAGAUGGAAUUUCUCAUCAAAACAGGGGAGAAAGGCUCCAAAACACUCUCUUCCCUAUUCCCAGGCCCUCCAGAGCUGCCACCACUGCUGUCCCCACCUUGUCCUGGCACACAGGGAUGGGGAUGCAUCCUGGUUGUGCUGGGCCUCCUCCGUGUACUGCCCAGCUUCCACCUGGCUGCACAACAGAACUCAGCCAAAUCACUGGAGGGGAAAAAGAAGCUGUUGACACCCCACAGUCAGCGAUGAGAGAGAUAAAUAGAUCUCUUCCCAUGAGAAGUGGGAUAGAAAGCAAGAGGUUAGCAGGUGUGGUGCUGCGUCACUUCUGUUCAUGUGAUCACACCCAAAAGAUGAGAGGCACACCAACCAUUUGGUUCUCCCCUUACCCUGGCUGCCAUCUCAUCCCAUCACAUCUCCCCGCUGAGCCCCACAGCUGUCUGUGCUGUACCAUCACCCCGUGUGUCCCCACCUGCUCCUGUAACCCCCACAUGCACCGCUGGCCCUGGGAUCCUUCUAUGGGAACACUCCGAUUCCAUCUCAUUUGGGGCAGAUUCCCACAGAAUCAAAGUGUGUAUCUCUGCAAGCAAAGCUGCUUCUUGGAAGAUGUUGAGCAUCUGCUCCACGUCAUGGAAGAGCAAGAGCUUCUCAAGAGGAUAAAAUAAAUAUAAUUGGAAAUUGAGUUGUUUUCUUUUUUUAAUAGCAGUACAUGGUGUUUUCUUGUACCCUUGCUCUCAGCCAUGGCUGUACCAUGUGGACUGGAUUGUUUCCUCAGCUUCUGCCCGAGGCAGACACCAAACAUGGGAAAUUUCAGCCCGAUUGAUUUGAGUCUGGCAAAGUUCUGCUCAAGUGACUGCAGAGCCUCCUGAUGGGAAGUGUCAGGAAAACUUCAUCUUAAGUGGUGGUACCACAGAAAAGAUUGUGCUCUAACCCCUGGAAAGUUGGCAUGGCAGCACAGCAUGUUCUUCCCCCAUCGCCACACACCCUCCUUCACAUUUCUGCCUUGCAGAAUUUGUGCCUUUUUGUUGCAUUGUUUCACUCAUUUUCUCUUUUUUUUUUUUUUUUCUUUUUCUUUUUCUUUUUUCCUGUUUGGGUUUCUGGCUCUUAUGGCUGCUUGGCUGGAGAGAGGCAUGCCAAGGUUUAGAUGACAAAUCGUCCUGCAGCAUCUGCUAGCAACUGAUAAGACAGAGACUGAUAAAGCCCCAUUUGCUGCUCCCACUGGACAGGGGGAAGACACCGCUGGCUGGGGAGGGGGGGACCUUCCCACCCUCAGAAUCCAGAAGCCUCACAUUGAGGAGCCAAGGCUGAUCUCCAGCCAAGUGCCCCAAAUUGGAAAAUCAGGCCCAGGGCUUGGGAGCCUCAUUCAGCCUCUGCCUUUGAGUGUGGUGUUUUCUUUCCAGGCUGUUGACUAUUUCACAAGGUUAAACACAUAUGUAAAGCAAACCACAAUCCCAACCAGUCAUUCUGCCUUGAAUAAGUAUCUGCAGUUUUUUGGAAGAGAUAACAAUGCUGUCUUUGUUUCCUCCUUGCUUCCCUCCCUCCCUACCUCUCUUCUUUCAUUCCCUCUCUCCAAGCAUGUUAGCCAUGCUAGCAACAGCAUUUCAUCCCACAAACAAUCAGGGAAAUGGGGCCGAGCACGUGGGUAGGGUGGCAGGAAGGCAGGAGCCAUUCUUAACCAAAAAGGAGGGAGCUAUGUGCUGAGCACAAGGUGCCACCGUCCCCACUGCUCAAGUGUGGUGCACAGAGAUGAAGUGAGAGCUGCUGUGUUGUGGGGCUUUGGGGCAUAUGAGAAUCCUCAUGUGUGUGGAAGCAGAUAGAUAAUAGUGAUACUAACAUGUAUUACUGGAUUAAAUGCCAAAUGGACUUUCAGAGAAUGGAAUUGUAGCAUGAGUAGCAUAAGGAAACAUGCCACAUUGUUUUGAGGGCUCCCUCUCACCCCAUCACCAGCUUCAACCAACACAGCACUGAGCCACCCCAGCACCAGCAGUCACUGGUUGCAUCUCUGCCUAACUCUGCGUAUCUGUUACAUAUAGAGUGGGAGAGAUGUCUUGGUUCUGCUAGCUGCCAGAGACAUAGAGACAUUGUAGGAACAUAGUAGGGAAUAUGGAAUGCUGGUUCCUGUACCUAGAGGCAUACACAGAGUCAGAGCAUCAUAGAACGUCUUUGGGUUGGAAGGGACAUCAAAGCCCAGCUGGUUGCAAGUGGGCAAAGUGCCACCCACCAGAGCAGGCUCUAAAUGGAUUCUGGUCCAUGCCAAGAGCAAAAGGAGGAUCAAACCCCAGCACAGAAGUAUCCCAGACAAAGGAGUUGUUUUUUUUUUUCAUGAGAAUUUAAGCCACAACUUCAGUAAGCCAAGAGCUGUGACUUUGGUCUGAGAUCAAUCCAUCUGUUCCUGAAAGCAGCACCAAUAUUUCAGUGUGUGUCACUGAAAGAGAUUUAUGAAUGUGUGAUGCUCUUUCCUCUGGAGAUGGGGCUGAAGCAUCGGUCAUCACUCCCAGCAUGCUGCAUGGAGCUCGGCCCCAAGGCCCUGCAUUGCUGUGAGCACACUGCCCAUAAAUCCUGCCUGCCCUGCCCCCCCUCCGCCCCUCUUAUCUGAGGCCCAGAUUCCUCCAGUAUCAGCAUUGGCCCAAAGGGAGAGGCCCUGGCUAUAGGCCUGGCAGAUAAAGUGUUGACAGGGAACAUCCAGAGGGGCGUGGUGGACCUCAACACCCUCUGGCAGAGUGCGAACCAAAUGGAGCCAGGGAUUUCCCAACCAGCUGCCUGCCACGAGCCAUGGCCACUGGGGGCAGGACGGGAGUGCAGGGGUCAGCAGAUGCUAUAGCCCAUGGUUGGCCCUUACCUCCCUGCUGGAGACCCUCUGCAGGGACCCUCCUCUGCCUGCCCCUCUGUGAGUGCCCAGUGGAUAGCUGUGCAUCAGCUUUGCUCUGUCACGAGCUGGCUUUCUGUUAAAGCAUUGGACAAGGAGCUUUCCGCUGGAUAAAAGUCAGACUGAGUCACAUUGCAGCUGUUUUCUCCAUGCACACUCUCCAUUUUACACGACAGAAAAAAAAAA
Coturnix japonica (Japanese quail) is the source of this 4308-nucleotide long non-coding RNA. RefSeq lists it as uncharacterized. Lineage: Eukaryota; Metazoa; Chordata; Aves; Galliformes; Phasianidae. The record is from RefSeq and is a predicted model, not a curated record.